Molecule: long non-coding RNA, 823 nt
Organism: Corticium candelabrum
Lineage: Eukaryota; Metazoa; Porifera; Homoscleromorpha; Homosclerophorida; Plakinidae
Exons: 3
Source: RefSeq, a predicted model, not a curated record
GCGCUAACACCAACAUGGAAAAUACAGAUGAGAAAGUUCGCAUGGUGUUGCAGUGUUUGAAUGAUCCAAAUCUGAAUGACAUCAGACUGCCUGAAGGAUGUGAAAUUGAAAAUUGGCAGGAUACGAACAGUGCAGCCACCUGGGAAGACCUGGGUUCACUGUGAUCGAUGAUGUCACUAAAAUGUUGCUUCCACGUAUUCAUAAUCUGAUGCUCUGAUGUUUUUUGGUCGAAUUUGGUUUGUUGUCAGAGUUUAAUUAACUUAAUUAAGGAACUCUACACUAAAUCUGACAAUUUGCCAAGAUUUUUACAGUCGCCUUUUCAAGUUCAUUGCCUAAUCUAUUGCAAAAACAUUUUGUUUCUAUUUUAUAGCUUUGAAAUAAUGUUUUGUAGAAUAGGUAAUUUCACAGCUGGCAUGCUUGUGCUAAUACCCGAGGUAUGGGCAGUUUUGUGUAUUACAGCAUGCACUUAACAGUGAUUCGAUCAACACAUGCACUUGUUCACCAUAUUAGACUAUGAUUACAAGACAAAUCAAAGCAAUGAGAUAAAUCAAUAAGUUAAUAAAUUAAUGAAUUAAAGCAAAUUAAUGACUUAAACUUCAACUUGCUGUAACAGUAAUAGAAAUACUAGCAUUACCAGAUUGGUUUAUAAUAUGGUAUACAAUUAAUAGAAAUAAUCAUUUUUACCGAGAGACUAUAUAGCAGUUGAAAUUAAAAGAUUUUUUGAUAAGCAAUAUUUACGUGCUUUAGUUUUCUUCUGUGCAUUUGACUUAUCUUGCCUUUGUGGUUUGAAUCAAUAUUGUUUUAUGGAGAUGGACAUCCUUUG